RNAcentral lists this long non-coding RNA (495 nucleotides) under Olea europaea (common olive). RNAcentral describes it as "long non-coding RNA (OEUR_LNC008685)". Lineage: Eukaryota; Viridiplantae; Streptophyta; Magnoliopsida; Lamiales; Oleaceae. The record is from RNAcentral.
UUACAAAAAGUUAAAAGCAAAAGCCCUACCAAACGGGCUCUUGAAAGUUAAAAUAACACAAGCAUUCAAUGAAUGGAGAGCUAAUAAUUAGAAUUUAUCAAAAACAUCUAGCAGAAGAUAUUAAAAAGAAAGAUUAUCUGAAAAUACAGAAGUUAUGGUACUAAGGCAGCGACUGAGUGUAAAUGUAAUCUUCAUUCUCAAAAACAUUUUCUUGUGAAUCCUCUUUGCACGCAGCAUUCUCUUUGUCACAUUUGCCUUUUCCCUGCAUCAACCUCACACAUAAGCUAUAUUUACAUACAUAUAUAACUGUGUGCAGUGUGUGAAAAUUAAUGCUUACCAAGUUCAGCUUCCCAGAAUUCACUGUUGACAGUUCAUCUGUAAGCUCAUGGCUAUUUCCACCUUGACUAACCAAUAGAAAAUGCAGCAGCAAAAACACAAGUGAAGCAAGAAAAAGGCUAGAAAAUUUCAUGUUUUGGAACUUAAAAUCAGUGAUUA